This 78-nucleotide transfer RNA is filed under the name Coxiella burnetii RSA 331. Its description in RNAcentral is "tRNA-Asn". It matches the Rfam family "tRNA". From Rfam's summary of the family: Transfer RNA (tRNA) molecules are approximately 80 nucleotides in length. Their secondary structure includes four short double-helical elements and three loops (D, anti-codon, and T loops). Further hydrogen bonds mediate the characteristic L-shaped molecular structure. tRNAs have two regions of fundamental functional importance: the anti-codon, which is responsible for specific mRNA codon recognition, and the 3' end, to which the tRNAs corresponding amino acid is attached (by aminoacyl-tRNA synthetases). tRNAs cope with the degeneracy of the genetic code in two manners: having more than one tRNA (with a specific anti-codon) for a particular amino acid; and 'wobble' base-pairing, i.e. permitting non-standard base-pairing at the 3rd anti-codon position. The record is from RNAcentral. Lineage: Bacteria; Pseudomonadati; Pseudomonadota; Gammaproteobacteria; Legionellales; Coxiellaceae.
CUCCUCGGUAGCUCAGUCGGUAGAGCAGGUGACUGUUAAUCACUUGGUCGGGGGUUCAAGUCCCUCCCGAGGAGCCAG